UGUUGUUGCCAUGGUAAUUCUGCUCAGUAUGAGAGGAACCGCAGGUUCACACAUUUGAUGUAUGUGCUUGGUUGAGGAGUCAAUGGGGCGAAGCUACCAUCUGUGAGAUUAUGACUGAACACCUCUAAGUCAGAAUCUCGCCCAGGUGGAACGAUACGGCAGCGCUGGAGGAGCCAUAGUUGGCCUUGGAUAGCCAGUCCCCCACGGUCCCCGCCAGUGGGCCAUCACCCGCAUCCCACCGCCUCACGCUGGGACUGGAGUCCGGUGCCGAGAACCCUUUCUCCCUGGACAUGGGGCGUGGCUGGAAAGGUGGCCUCCCCCUUGCCCGUCAUGCACAGCACGUUCCUGGGAACCUCGUGCUAAACCAUUCGCAGAUGACCUGCUUCUGGGUCGGGGUUUCCUACAUAGCAGAGCAGCUCCCUCGCUGCGAUCUAUUGAAAGUCAGCCCUCGACACAUGCGUUU
This 463-nucleotide non-coding RNA is filed under the name Ovis aries (sheep). RNAcentral describes it as "Eukaryotic large subunit ribosomal RNA". It matches the Rfam family "Eukaryotic large subunit ribosomal RNA", at positions 3006 to 3399 of the family's 3401-position model. The record is from Rfam by way of RNAcentral. Lineage: Eukaryota; Metazoa; Chordata; Mammalia; Artiodactyla; Bovidae.